Molecule: ribosomal RNA, 234 nt
Filed under: uncultured bacterium
Lineage: Bacteria
Description: partial 16S ribosomal RNA
Rfam family: Bacterial small subunit ribosomal RNA
Source: RNAcentral
AAUGAACGCUGGCGGCAGGCCUAACACAUGCAAGUCGAACGCCGUAGCAAUACGGAGUGGCAGACGGGUGAGUAACACGUGGGAACGUACCCUUCGGUUCGGGAUAACUCAGGGAAACUUGAGCUAAUACCGGGAUACGUCCGAGAGGAGAAAGAUUUAUUGCCGAGGGAUACGGCCCGCGUCUGAUUAGCUUGUUGGUGAGGUAACGGCUCACCAAGGCGACGAUCAGUAGCU